ACAGAGACUACGUCAGGCCCUUAACCCACUGAGCCACAAUGAGAACUAGCCAUGCUGGCUCUGCUCUGGAGGUCUUCUAGAAAUAAACCCACAGAUGGCCUAGUGCAAGAGCUGUCCGUAGGAAUCCAGUCUGGCUGACCAACUCAAGCAAAUCUCUCCCAGAGGACUUAAACUAAUACAUGCAGAGACUAUGAUAAAUUGGUAGAAAGAAGAAGCAGGAAGAGAAUCGGAGGUAGUGGAACUGAAGGAGAUUCAUAAAGUUGCCAUGGAAGGCCCAGAAUGUACCAGACAAUUAGUGAUGUUUUGCAAAGUUAACCAUCAGUAAAUAUUGCUUAACUUCUAAGAAA
Long non-coding RNA from Phacochoerus africanus (Common warthog), 347 nucleotides. RefSeq lists it as uncharacterized. Lineage: Eukaryota; Metazoa; Chordata; Mammalia; Artiodactyla; Suidae. The transcript is spliced from 2 exons. The record is from RefSeq and is a predicted model, not a curated record.